RNAcentral lists this non-coding RNA (29 nucleotides) under Mus musculus (house mouse). The record is from RNAcentral. Lineage: Eukaryota; Metazoa; Chordata; Mammalia; Rodentia; Muridae.
UAGGUGUGUCUUCUUGCUUCAAAUAGCCU